RNAcentral lists this ribosomal RNA (2906 nucleotides) under Campylobacter jejuni. Its description in RNAcentral is "23S ribosomal RNA". It matches the Rfam family "Bacterial large subunit ribosomal RNA". Lineage: Bacteria; Pseudomonadati; Campylobacterota; Epsilonproteobacteria; Campylobacterales; Campylobacteraceae. The record is from RNAcentral.
AGGUAAGCUACUAAGAGCGAAUGGUGGAUGCCUUGACUGGUAAAGGCGAUGAAGGACGUACUAGACUGCGAUAAGCUACGGGGAGCUGUCAAGAAGCUUUGAUCCGUAGAUUUCCGAAUGGGGCAACCCAAUGUAUAGAGAUAUACAUUACCUAUAUAGGAGCGAACGAGGGGAAUUGAAACAUCUUAGUACCCUCAGGAAAAGAAAUCAAUAGAGAUUGCGUCAGUAGCGGCGAGCGAAAGCGCAAGAGGGCAAACCCAGUGCUUGCACUGGGGGUUGUAGGACUGCAAUGUGCAAGAGGUAAGUUUAGCAGAACAUUCUGGAAAGUAUAACCAUAGAGGGUGAUAGUCCCGUAUGCGAAAAACAAACCUUAGCUAGCAGUAUCCUGAGUAGGGCGGGACACGAGGAAUCCUGUCUGAAUCCGGGUCGACCACGAUCCAACCCUAAAUACUAAUACCAGAUCGAUAGUGCACAAGUACCGUGAGGGAAAGGUGAAAAGAACUGAGGUGAUCAGAGUGAAAUAGAACCUGAAACCAUUUGCUUACAAUCAUUCAGAGCCCUAUGUAGCAAUACAGGGUGAUGGACUGCCUUUGCAUAAUGAGCCUGCGAGUUGUGGUGUCUGGCAAGGUUAAGCAAACGCGAAGCCGUAGCGAAAGCGAGUCUGAAUAGGGCGCUUAGUCAGAUGCUGCAGACCCGAAACGAAGUGAUCUAUCCAUGAGCAAGUUGAAGCUAGUGUAAGAACUAGUGGAGGACUGAACCCAUAGGCGUUGAAAAGCCCCGGGAUGACUUGUGGAUAGGGGUGAAAGGCCAAUCAAACUUCGUGAUAGCUGGUUCUCUCCGAAAUAUAUUUAGGUAUAGCGUUGUGUCGUAAUAUAAGGGGGUAGAGCACUGAAUGGGCUAGGGCAUACACCAAUGUACCAAACCCUAUCAAACUCCGAAUACCUUAUAUGUAAUCACAGCAGUCAGGCGGCGAGUGAUAAAAUCCGUCGUCAAGAGGGAAACAACCCAGACUACCAGCUAAGGUCCCUAAAUCUUACUUAAGUGGAAAACGAUGUGAAGUUACUUAAACAACCAGGAGGUUGGCUUAGAAGCAGCCAUCCUUUAAAGAAAGCGUAAUAGCUCACUGGUCUAGUGAUUUUGCGCGGAAAAUAUAACGGGGCUAAAGUAAGUACCGAAGCUGUAGACUUAGUUUACUAAGUGGUAGGAGAGCGUUCUAUUUGCGUCGAAGGUAUACCGGUAAGGAGUGCUGGAGCGAAUAGAAGUGAGCAUGCAGGCAUGAGUAGCGAUAAUUAAUGUGAGAAUCAUUAACGCCGUAAACCCAAGGUUUCCUACGCGAUGCUCGUCAUCGUAGGGUUAGUCGGGUCCUAAGUCGAGUCCGAAAGGGGUAGACGAUGGCAAAUUGGUUAAUAUUCCAAUACCAACAUUAGUGUGCGAUGGAAGGACGCUUAGGGCUAAGGGGGCUAGCGGAUGGAAGUGCUAGUCUAAGGUCGUAGGAGGUUGUACAGGCAAAUCCGUAUAACAAUACUCCGAGAACUGAAAGGCUUUUUGAAGUCUUCGGAUGGAUAGAAGAACCCCUGAUGCCGUCGAGCCAAGAAAAGUUUCUAAGUUUAGCUAAUGUUGCCCGUACCGUAAACCGACACAGGUGGGUGGGAUGAGUAUUCUAAGGCGCGUGGAAGAACUCUCUUUAAGGAACUCUGCAAAAUAGCACCGUAUCUUCGGUAUAAGGUGUGGUUAGCUUUGUAUUAGGAUUUACUCCGAAAGCAAGGAAACUUACAACAAAGAGUCCCUCCCGACUGUUUACCAAAAACACAGCACUCUGCUAACUCGUAAGAGGAUGUAUAGGGUGUGACGCCUGCCCGGUGCUCGAAGGUUAAUUGAUGGGGUUAGCAUUAGCGAAGCUCUUGAUCGAAGCCCGAGUAAACGGCGGCCGUAACUAUAACGGUCCUAAGGUAGCGAAAUUCCUUGUCGGUUAAAUACCGACCUGCAUGAAUGGCGUAACGAGAUGGGAGCUGUCUCAAAGAGGGAUCCAGUGAAAUUGUAGUGGAGGUGAAAAUUCCUCCUACCCGCGGCAAGACGGAAAGACCCCGUGGACCUUUACUACAGCUUGACACUGCUACUUGGAUAAGAAUGUGCAGGAUAGGUGGGAGGCUUUGAGUAUAUGACGCCAGUUGUAUAUGAGCCAUUGUUGAGAUACCACUCUUUCUUAUUUGGGUAGCUAACCAGCUUGAGUUAUCCUCAAGUGGGACAAUGUCUGGUGGGUAGUUUGACUGGGGCGGUCGCCUCCCAAAUAAUAACGGAGGCUUACAAAGGUUGGCUCAGAACGGUUGGAAAUCGUUCGUAGAGUAUAAAGGUAUAAGCCAGCUUAACUGCAAGACAUACAAGUCAAGCAGAGACGAAAGUCGGUCUUAGUGAUCCGGUGGUUCUGUGUGGAAGGGCCAUCGCUCAAAGGAUAAAAGGUACCCCGGGGAUAACAGGCUGAUCUCCCCCAAGAGCUCACAUCGACGGGGAGGUUUGGCACCUCGAUGUCGGCUCAUCGCAUCCUGGGGCUGGAGCAGGUCCCAAGGGUAUGGCUGUUCGCCAUUUAAAGCGGUACGCGAGCUGGGUUCAGAACGUCGUGAGACAGUUCGGUCCCUAUCUGCCGUGGGCGUAAGAAGAUUGAAGAGAUUUGACCCUAGUACGAGAGGACCGGGUUGAACAAACCACUGGUGUAGCUGUUGUUCUGCCAAGAGCAUCGCAGCGUAGCUAAGUUUGGAAAGGAUAAACGCUGAAAGCAUCUAAGCGUGAAGCCAACUCUAAGAUGAAUCUUCUCUAAGCUCUCUAGAAGACUACUAGUUUGAUAGGCUGGGUGUGUAAUGGAUGAAAGUCCUUUAGCUGACCAGUACUAAUAGAGCGUUUGGCUUAUCUUU